This 922-nucleotide ribosomal RNA is filed under the name uncultured bacterium. RNAcentral describes it as "bacterial SSU rRNA". It matches the Rfam family "Bacterial small subunit ribosomal RNA", at positions 8 to 916 of the family's 1533-position model. The record is from RNAcentral.
AGAGUUUGAUCAUGGCUCAGGACGAACGCUGGCGGCGCGCUUAACACAUGCAAGUCGAGCGAGAACCAGGCCUUCGGGCCUGGGGACAGCGGCGAACGGGUGAGUAACACGUGGGUAAUCUGCCCUCGAUUCUGGGAUAGCCCGGGGAAACCCGGAUUAAUACCGGAUAGCCUCUCGAGCUCUCGGGCUCGUGAGAAAAGGUAGCUUCGGCCUCCGAUCGAGGAUGAGCCCGCGGCGGAUUAGCUUGUUGGUGGGGUAACGGCUCACCAAGGCGACGAUCCGUAGCUGGUCUGAGAGGACGAUCAGCCACACUGGGACUGAGACACGGCCCAGACUCCUACGGGAGGCAGCAGUGGGGAAUCUUGCGCAAUGGGCGAAAGCCUGACGCAGCGACGCCGCGUGGGGGAAGAAGGCCUUCGGGUUGUAAACCUCUUUCAGCAGGGACGAAGCCACUCGGGUGAAUAGCCCAGAGGGUGACGGUACCUGCAGAAGAAGCCCCGGCUAACUACGUGCCAGCAGCCGCGGUAAUACGUAGGGGGCAAGCGUUGUCCGGAUUUAUUGGGCGUAAAGAGCGUGUAGGCGGCCAGGCAGGUCCGUUGUGAAAACUGGAGGCUUAACCUUCAGACGUCGAUGGAAACCGUCUGGCUAGAGUCCGGAAGAGGAGAGUGGAAUUCCUGGUGUAGCGGUGAAAUGCGCAGAUAUCAGGAAGAACACCCGUGGCUAAGGCGGCUCUCUAGUACGGUACUGACGCUGAGACGCGAAAGCGUGGGGAGCGAACAGGAUUAGAUACCCUGUAGUCCACGCCGUAAACGAUGGGUGCUAGGUGUGGGGGGUGUCGACUCCCUCCGUGCCGAAGCUAACGCAUUAAGCACCCCGCCUGGGGAGUACGGGCCGCAAGGCUAAAACUUAAAUGAAUUGACGG